Molecule: microRNA precursor, 58 nt
Filed under: Cavia porcellus (domestic guinea pig)
Lineage: Eukaryota; Metazoa; Chordata; Mammalia; Rodentia; Caviidae
Description: Cpo-Mir-1249_pre stem-loop
Source: RNAcentral
AGGAGGGAGGAGAUGGGCCAAGUUCCCUCUGCCUGGAACGCCCUCCCCCCCUUCUUCA